Molecule: ribosomal RNA, 751 nt
Filed under: Streptomyces sp.
Lineage: Bacteria; Bacillati; Actinomycetota; Actinomycetes; Kitasatosporales; Streptomycetaceae
Description: bacterial SSU rRNA
Rfam family: Bacterial small subunit ribosomal RNA
Source: RNAcentral
UUAGUGGCGAACGGGUGAGUAACACGUGGGCAAUCUGCCCUUCACUCUGGGACAAGCCCUGGAAACGGGGUCUAAUACCGGAUAACACUUCCACUCGCAUGGGUGGGGGUUGAAAGCUCCGGCGGUGAAGGAUGAGCCCGCGGCCUAUCAGCUUGUUGGUGAGGUAGAAGCUCACCAAGGCGACGACGGGUAGCCGGCCUGAGAGGGCGACCGGCCACACUGGGACUGAGACACGGCCCAGACUCCUACGGGAGGCAGCAGUGGGGAAUAUUGCACAAUGGGCGAAAGCCUGAUGCAGCGACGCCGCGUGAGGGAUGACGGCCUUCGGGUUGUAAACCUCUUUCAGCAGGGAAGAAGCGAAAGUGACGGUACCUGCAGAAGAAGCGCCGGCUAACUACGUGCCAGCAGCCGCGGUAAUACGUAGGGCGCAAGCGUUGUCCGGAAUUAUUGGGCGUAAAGAGCUCGUAGGCGGUCUGUCACGUCGGAUGUGAAAGCCCGGGGCUUAACCCCGGGUCUGCAUUCGAUACGGGCAGACUAGAGUGUGGUAGGGGAGAUCGGAAUUCCUGGUGUAGCGGUGAAAUGCGCAGAUAUCAGGAGGAACACCGGUGGCGAAGGCGGAUCUCUGGGCCAUUACUGACGCUGAGGAGCGAAAGCGUGGGGAGCGAACAGGAUUAGAUACCCUGGUAGUCCACGCCGUAAACGGUGGGAACUAGGUGUUGGCGACAUUCCACGUCGUCGGUGCCGCAGCUAA